Long non-coding RNA from Myxocyprinus asiaticus (Chinese sucker), 3262 nucleotides. RefSeq lists it as uncharacterized. The transcript is spliced from 2 exons. Lineage: Eukaryota; Metazoa; Chordata; Actinopteri; Cypriniformes; Catostomidae. The record is from RefSeq and is a predicted model, not a curated record.
UUCAAAACAUUUAUUCACCACUAGGUAAUACAAUCUCUCAUAAAUAGAACUUUACAAAGACACAAAACAGAGGUAUAUGCUCAGUGACACAAUGAUACAAUUUCUUAACGUGGUGCUUAUCGAAAGAGACAAGAGUGCAAGUGGGCAGGAAGGAGGAAACAAACAACUGAAAUGCAGAAGAAGGUGUAGAAAGAGAGAUAUAGACAAAAACACAGAUCUCAGCACUAUAGUAUAAUCCAUUAUGUUCCUCUUUUAUACAAUAAUCUUAAAUUACACAAAAUUACAACUAAGACUACAGUAGAUAAAUUUCAAACUUUGGGAAUGCUUUAGUAUGUGUAUCAUUAAGGCCACUGGUUACGUGUGUGCUAUAUUUACAGAUAUAGUAUUUACAUACAAACUGUGUAUUGUGCCUUCACCUGCAAAUCUAGUCCAAGUCUUCAUAUUUGCUUUAUGCAACUAAGUCUGGCUGACAGAAAAACAUGAAGUGGAUUAUACAGCAGACUGGAUUGGCAAAAAGGCUUAGAUAUAAGUUCCAGUCUGCUGUUAUAUGAAAGCAGGAAACUAAAAAUAUAAAGCUAAAUUGAAAGGGGCCACUGCACUCAGUAAAUGGAGUAUCUCUUAUUGACAUUGUAACAUCCAAUGCAGUGCACUGAUAGCCAGUUCACUGUCCAUGCUACUGAGGACACAAACGCUCCUUUGAUGCAUGUUGGGCUUUUUACAUUAAUCAGCACAUCAGUGAAAUGAAGACAAGAGUACACUGUAUGAGGGGGCCAAAAAGUGAAGUAUUCAGCUCUAAAAUCACUGCAGGUUUUGUGGAAAUUCAAAUUUAAGGGUCACUUUAAGAUCAGUUGACUCUCUGUCAUUUCUAUAUCAUCAUGGCAUAGCAAAGUGAUAGUGUUAUAUUGUCGGUGGGCGUUUAAGGAGAACAUGAUAGCAUCAGUUGCAUGAUUAGGUUAAACAGAGUUUCCAGCUGAAUGGUUCUGCCUGUACACCGAUCAGCCACAACAUUAAAACCACCUGCCUAAUAUUGUGUAGGUGGUUUUAAUGUUGUGUAUGUUUGAUGCUUUGUUUAAAAGUCAUCAGAUGAGUACUGUGUGAACACUACAUUGUAGCCUAAAAAACUACAAUGUAAGCUUCUACUAGUUAGAUGUAAUGACUGCAGAGUGGAACAGCAGUGUUGGGCAGUAAUGGACUACAUGUAAUAUAGAUUACAUAAACAGAUUACAAAAAAUUCAGUACUUGUAUUUAGAUUAUGUUACAAUUUACAUUUGCAUAAUUAGAUUACAGUUUUUUUUUGUGCAUCUUUUUAAAAUGGAUUAUAUGAUUACAAAUUGAUUGCAUUUACCUAUUAGUCUUGACUUUUAAAGAAUUGUCAGAUCAAAUCGUUGUUUGAUUUCAUGUUUACUAAUAUUUAAUGAAAGGAGUGUAAAUUGGUCCAGCAUACACUUUGAUUUUCAUCAAUACAUGCAAUAAUUCAUCAAUAAAUUCCUUAGGACUACCUAAAAAGUGUCAUCUAAAAGAUUGCAUUACUAAUUUGUUUGGUGCAAUUUGUAAUCUGAUUACAUUUCAGAAGUAAUCUACCCAACACUGAAAAAAUACCAUUCUGAAUUGCAGAACAAAAAUACAAGCAAAAGUAAAACAAAAACUUGUCCUUCCACACUUAAUCAACGUUUAAACAACUGAAUAAAGAAGAACAUUUGGUUCAUCCAGUAACCCGGCUGAAAAAAGCAUCUUAAAUGAGCCUGAACUGGUUUGCUGGUCUUACUGUAGCUGGUUUAAGAUAGAACCUCUUUAAAACCAGCAAACCAGACCAGGCUUGGAGACUUGCAAACCAUCUUAGGCUGGUUUAAGCAGGGAAACCAGUAAAGUUUAUCCUUUUUGCCUUCACUGCUAAUCCUUUCACAAGCUGAAUCAAUGUGAGUGAUCAAAUAAAAAAAGUGUAAUGCAUAUACAGGAAUAUAUAAUAAUUUUAUGGGAUACAAUAAUGGUGCAGUUCAAGUGAUCUGCUAAGUCUUUUCAUUGUGUGUGUGUGUUUGUAUAAGAGUUUGUAUGGGAGAGCAGAGGCAACAGAAGCAGAAUGACUCUGCAAGUGCUGAAGCGAUCAAAGUGAGAAUAAUAAUCUCCAGCUGCAUUCACUCUCUCUGGAUGAAUAAUCUGGGUCAAUCUGUGAGAGAGGGAACAGUGCAAAUCUAGGGGAGGGAGAGAUUAUGGAGGCUUGUAUAGGUGGAUUAUCUCACACUUGCAUUUGUCUGGCAUGUUUUCAAAUAUCUGCUGUCCAGCCAGUAUCCAUAGCCUACUUCAAAAUACAGCAACAUCACAUCUAUAGACUCAACUGGCAAGAUCUCUUCUGUUGUGCUCCCAGCUCUGUCACACCACACUGUGAGAGUGUGUGUGCAAGAAUAAGGGCAGUUCAGUGUGUGUGGAUGUCACUUGAGAUGUGUGGAACUGAGUGUGGGAAUAAGGAUUAGGGGAAAGAAUGCUGAGGUAACAGCAUGAUUAUAAGACUUUGCAUGUGUGUUUGUAAAGAUAAGGCAAGUGAGGUGUGUCAGUGGAUACAAAUGAAAUAUAUUUAAACAGGAACAGAUCAUAAUAAGCUUAUCUUGCACAUAUAAAGAAAAACAUUUUUUUUGCACAGUUAAUUCACUGUAAUGUCACAAGAAUGGCAAACAUUAACAGUUAAAAUGAUCAAAAGUUGGUUUGAAUAGAUACUGAAACUAAAAUAAGUAAAUAUAGAUAUACUGCAUUAAAAUGAAUAUUUAUGAGGUCUUUAAAGAGAUGAGGUGGAAACAUAUACAGUGAGGAUUGUGUGUGAGAGCCAGACACUGCAAAGAUGGUUGUCUGUGACUUUUGAGUAUAUUCAUGUGAUCCAUUUAAAACGACAAAGGAGACAUAAUAAGGAGGGGAUACAUUUAAGUAGAUCCACAUGACCCAUGCUUUUAGCGUUAGUAGUUCACUUAAAAGAAACUGGAGUCUGUCUAUUAAAUAAGUAAGUGUGUUACAAUCAGUGAUUGUCAAUAUUUCCUAAAUGUCUGCAACAGCUAUAGAAAUAUCAUAAAAGACAUCAGGCUAGUUCAGAAAAAGGCCUGCCAUUAACUACAUUCCCAUUAAUCUUCAUGCAGUCACACUGUGUCUUAUGCGACAGCAUUGCAUUACAUUAUUAAUGAAUGUACCAACUUUCUUAAAGGGACAGUGCACCCAAAAAUGAAAAUUCUCAUGUCAUUCCAAACCUGUAUAACUUUCUUUCUUCUGUGAAACACAAAAG